UACAGAGGGUGCGAGCGUUGUCCGGAAUCACUGGGCGUAAAGGGCGCGUAGGUGGCUCGUUAAGCGUGUGGUGAAAGCCUGGGGCUCAACCCCAGGUCUGCCGUGCGAACUGGCGAGCUUGAGCAGAGUAGAGGCGGGUGGAAUUUCGGGUGUAGCGGUGGAAUGCGUAGAUAUCCGAAAGAACACCAGUGGCGAAGGCGGCUCACUGGCUCGAUACUGACGCUGAGGUGCGAAAGCGUGGGGAGCAAACAGG
Molecule: ribosomal RNA, 253 nt
Filed under: uncultured bacterium
Lineage: Bacteria
Description: partial 16S ribosomal RNA
Rfam family: Bacterial small subunit ribosomal RNA
Source: RNAcentral